This 425-nucleotide ribosomal RNA is filed under the name uncultured bacterium. Its description in RNAcentral is "partial 16S ribosomal RNA". It matches the Rfam family "Bacterial small subunit ribosomal RNA", at positions 354 to 796 of the family's 1533-position model. The record is from RNAcentral.
GUGGGGAAUCUUGCGCAAUGGGCGAAAGCCUGACGCAGCCAUGCCGCGUGAAUGAUGAAGGCCUUAGGGUUGUGAAGCUCUUUCAGCUGGGAAGAUAAUGACUGAACCAGCAGAAGAAGCCCCGGCUAACUCCGUGCCAGCAGCCGCGGUAAUACGGAGGGGGCUAGCGUUGUUCGGAAUUACUGGGCGUAAAGCGCACGUAGGCGGACCGGAAAGUCAGAGGUGAAAUCCCAGGGCUCAACCUUGGAACUGCCUUUGAAACUCCUGGUCUUGAGGUCGAGAGAGGUGAGUGGAAUUCCGAGUGUAGAGGUGAAAUUCGUAGAUAUUCGGAGGAACACCAGUGGCGAAGGCGGUUCACUGGCUCGAUACUGACGCUGAGGUGCGAAAGCGUGGGGAGCAAACAGGAUUAGAUACCCGUGUAGUCC